UGGGUCUUUUUCUCCAAUCGAAAUCUGGAGCCGAUGCACAUGGUCCGGUAUCCAGCUAUGUCUUUCAAUGGUGCAACCAGAAAGAAAGUUCUAUGUUCCAUGAACGGGGUGAAUCCAGUCUUCAUAGAGUGCAACAUGGAAGACGUGAUUUAGCUGCCACUUGCACAACCCUGGAUUUUCAUGAUCUUCAAAUGAGAUGCUCUGAUAUGGAGGCAUUAUGUCUGAUGGUGGUCUGCUGACAAGAGCAUCACAGGCUGGAAAUGCUGCACCUGACAAGGUGUUCAAGUGGAGGACUGACUGUUUGAGCAGGGGUGAAAAAACAAAGGGUACCUACAUCACAUGUCCCUGGAUUUCCAGAUGUGCUUUGAGCUGCAUUCAGGAUCCAUGAUGAACCUCUGAGAUGGGAUGCUCUGAUAUGGAGGCGUUGUGUGAUGGUGGUCUGCUGACAAGAGCAUCACAGGCUGGAAAUGCUGCACCUGACAAUGUGUUCAAGUGGAGGACUCCGACUGUUUGAUGAGCAGGGGUGGAAAAAACAAAGGGUACCUACAUCACAUGUCCCUGGAUUUCCAGAUGUGCUUUGAGCUGCAUUCAGGAUCCAUGAUGAACCUCUGAGAUGGGAUGCUCUGAUACGGAGACGUUGUGUGAUGGUGGUCUGCUGACAAGAGCAUCACAGGCUGGAAAUGCUGCACCUGACGAUGUGUUCAAGUGGAGGACUCCGACUGUUUGAGCAGGGGUGAAAAAACAAAGGGUACCUACAUCACAUGUCCCUGGAUUUCCAGAUGUGCUUUGAGCUGCAUUCAGGAUCCAUGAUGAACCUCUGAGAUGGGAUGCUCUGAUACGGAGGCGUUAUGUGUGAUGGUGGUCUGCUGACAAGAGCAUCAGAAGGCUGGAAAUGCUGCACCUGACAAUGUGUUCAAGUGGAGGACUCAGACUGUUUGAUGAGCAGGGGUGAAGAAACAAAGGGUACCUACAUCAUGGGGCCCAAACCCUGCACCUGACAAUGUGUUCAAGUUGAGGACUCGGACUGUUUGACGGGCAGGGGUCCCUGGAUUGCCAGAGGUGCUUUCAGAUCCACAAUGACAUGGGAUGCUCUGAUAUGGAGAUCUUGUGUGAUGACGGUCUGCCGACAGUCACCGGCUGUAAAAGGCUGCGGUCUGGAUUGAGGUAUCUGGAUACCAGUCUUGGUGUGGUGGCCAGAAGACCUGGAGUCGUUUUUUUUUUUUUUUUUUUUUUGAAUGACACUGCAGGGCUGGAAGCUCAGGCUCUGAGUGUGCUAGAUUGUGUACAAAUUUAAAAUGGACAAUUGUGUUCAGUUCCUGACAUUUCCAGAACAUUUCAUGCACAUUAAAGUGUAACUCUAGCAAACCUGGUUCGUAGCAUGCGCUGGGUAUCUACACAAAGUGAAGCAUCAACAAUGUAGUUUGCAAAUCUUCCCUGCUGAAAAAAACAGCAAGAAACCAGCUUAGGCUGGUAGCUGGUUUUUGCUGGUCUUUGCCCAAAACACAGUUAUUAUUGCUGGUCUUUGCUGGUGUAGCUGGUUAGGCCACCAGCUAGACAUGCUGGCGUGACCAUCUGAGGAAGCUGGUCGUGCUGGUGUGACCAGCCUGUCGUUUGGGAUACAACUGGUUUAAGAUGGUCAUGCUGGUGACCAGCCUGUCAAGCUUGACAAAGAUGGUCAAGCUGAUUUUCUAGAAUAACCAACAUAAGCUGGCGUGGCCAGUAAAAACCAGCAAUGUAGACCAGCAACACCAACUAAAAUGACCAGCUUAAGGUGGUACGACAAUCAAAACCAGCUGAAUUACCAUCAUAAGCUGGGUAAACCAGCUGAAGGUGUGUUUUCGCGAGAGUUUUGCUGGUCUAGCUGGUUAACCAUCAAAGGGUGGUCAAAUAAGCUGGUUAACAAGCUGGUCAACCAGCAAACCACCUUUAGCUGGUCAGGCUGUUUUUUUCAGCAGUAGUAUUGAACAUUGUAGCUUGACAGACAUCAAGAUAUCUGAAUAAUUGCUCAUUCAGCUUUCAGUGGGCACCCAGAGUAAACUACGAUGAGGUUUUGAGCGAUUACUGUUUAAAAAAAUGCUAUUUUGAAAGCGUUUGGCUGCACUGUUUGACUAGUUUAUGUUUAGUUUUGACUAGUCUGUACUAGGCUCUGUGCUUGAUCAAUGAUAAAUAUGGUCUCUGGCUUAUUUCAUGUAUCUUUAUCGAGAAACAAAACACCUUUGGUCAUUUUUUGCCCAAGUUAGACUUUAAUCUAAUGUCCUGCUUAGGAAAAAAAUAUUAAAACUUUGUUUUGAAAACUCAA
Molecule: long non-coding RNA, 2299 nt
Organism: Sardina pilchardus (European sardine)
Lineage: Eukaryota; Metazoa; Chordata; Actinopteri; Clupeiformes; Clupeidae
Exons: 13
Source: RefSeq, a predicted model, not a curated record